Hordeum vulgare subsp. vulgare (domesticated barley) is the source of this 2357-nucleotide long non-coding RNA. RefSeq lists it as uncharacterized. NCBI's taxonomy places the organism in Eukaryota, Viridiplantae, Streptophyta, Magnoliopsida, Poales, Poaceae. The record is from RefSeq and is a predicted model, not a curated record. The transcript has 2 exons.
AGCAAUCGACCGGGGGCCUUCAUCCUCCCCAUCUUAGGCGACUUCGACCGCCAUCGCGUUUCGGUCAAAUUCGGCCAAGCCGAAGCCACCUAGCCCCACUCGAGCCGCCCCUCGACUCCCCUCGACCCCGCAAAGGUUUCUCCCCUCGAAUCCUAGCCCGGGAGCUUUCGUAGAGAGAGACCCCAGACACCUAGAAACCAUAGUCCGUUGGUAGCCUUGCCGCCGGCCGAUCCCUCCACCUCCCCACACCUGGCUACCACCGGGAGGACCAGCAGCUGGCCGGGGAACCCAUUCCCGCCCUCAGACGGACCCUAGGAGCCUCCGUCCGCUGACGAGAACCGUCGGAGCCCUGCCUCCGCUCGGCCACAAGAAAGAGGCAUGUGCGACUGGUCAAACCUAACAAGUGGGCCCGAUGGACCCAUUGUCAGUGACCCCAUGGUUCCGCCGAAGCGCUUAAGUGGAAGUGUAAAGCCCCGGGGUAUGUUUUCUCUGUUAGGGAAUAGGGAUUUGAAGACAGGGUAAAAACUUUCCGAAAGUUUUGUUGUGCACCUCACCUACCUACACACUCAAGGCAAGCAUUCUGAAUUUGGGUAUAAUAUUGUUGUAUGUGAUUUGCUUCAUGAAGAAAACAUUAUUGUUAUGUUGAAUAAGUUUGAUGGUAUUUCAUGUGGUGGUAUAACCAUGCACAUGGGUACAUGGCGAGAAAAUAUACCUGUUACGUAUGUGAUGCUUGUGAGAGUAGCCACUCCCUUCUGCCACACAUGCCUUCCGGAUGGGAUCCGAGAAGAGUAGGUGUCUUGGAAAGACACGACCUUGGGGACUGACAUCUCAUGGGAGGAGGAUGGUCGGCGAGGCAUGUUGGGGUAUGAGAGGUGGUGAUUCUGUCCAGAAUCGUGAAAUAAUUCUGUUGUGCUAAUCAUUGCAUGGAACAAUAUAAACCUCCUUAGUCCAUCGUAGAUCGAGUCUUGGUCCAGCAACCUCCCUUACUUUUUUCGUACUACCGCUUGUCCGUGUCGAAAGCAGGGUACGGUUGAGUAAGUUGUCAACCCCUUUCUUGGCACACACCGUACAGGAGAGGCCAUAGUGAAAGAUACCAGUGGCCCCUCGUAGACAUGUCACUUGGUCUAGGGACAUGCGUGUUUCGGUCUGAGAUCAAAGGGGUUAGCUCCCCCGUGUGCGCGCGACCCCAGGCAUCAGGAAGUAGGAACUCGUGUGUAAAGGUUAGGUGUGUUUUCAACUCAAAGACCGUAAUCGGAAUUAGUCAACAUCUCUGGUUGACUAGAGAAAUCCGUUACUCGUGGGUAAAGAGUACACCCUCUGCAGAGUUUUACACCUAUUCGGAAGGCCUUGUCCGUGGUUAAGGGAUACAGUUUGCGAUAGGUCAAGUGUCGGUAUGAGUAUCGGUCUUCGGAGGAUGUUAACAAAAUCGUGAGACUAAUCAUGAAAUAUGGUGGAUGAUCAUAGCUAUUAUUUUACUAUGGACUAACCUUUAUGAUUAUGAAUGUUGAUUAUCCCUAGGACGGUUCUACCUCCUAGAUAUUCAUUGUUGUUAUUUCAUAUGAGUCAUGUAUGUGGUAUCGCCCAGAUGCCCAACUGUGGCAUGAUUAUUACUAUUUCAUAUAAGCCCAUUAUGUGGUAUCGCUCAAACGCCCGACUGUGGCAUGCUUAAUAUUAUUUCAUAUAAGCCCUUUAUGUGGUGUCGCUCAGACACCCGACUGUGGCAUGUUUGUUAUUACUUCACAUAAACCCUUUAAGUGAUGUCACUCAGACGCCCGACUAUGGCAUGUUUGUUAUUAUUUAUUAUAAGCCAUUUAUGUGGUGUCGCUAAGACGCCCGACUGAGGCAUAUCACGUAUCUUUUCUGUUAACUUUCUUCUCAUUGAAUGCUUAUUGAACUCUUAGUAUGGUUAAUUUACAUGAUCACUAGUGCUUGAGAGUUUGAAUUAUGAUUGAAGUAAUAUCGUUGAAUUAUUGCAAGUGCAUAUUAACCACGUGCUAUUUUAUGCAUGCUUUCAUGAUGUUUGUGAGUACAUUCAAAGUACUCAAUGGCUUGUCCCUGGCUAUUGUCUUGCCUGAUUGCGUGCUUGGAGAGGAGGAUCCCGAUGAUAGCCCCGGAACCUAGGCACCGAAGACAGUAGCCGCGUGAGAUAGGAAUUGUCCAAGGUGAGCUAUUCCUGUGGGAAAUGGAGUCCCAUAGACGCUAGAAAUCCCCGAACCGCUUUCGCCAUCAACCAGUAGAAACCUUUUCUAUGUACUCCAUAGGCCAUCUUGGUCUUGUACCUCAUAUUUGUAUUUUCUUUACUUGGAUAUUUGUAUCAUGGAUUUAUGUACCAGCUAACCGUAUUCCUGGGGUUUGUA